AGACACGAUACGACAACAAGCCUAAGAUACCACGGAUUCCCCUUCUGCAAACUCAGGACUAAUGGCAUCAGGGUAACAUUGGAAAUUAUGGAAACGUAUUAAGAAUAUUAAACAGUUCCCAUAACUCAUGAUGGAAGAGUGAAUCGACAUGAAUGCAGAGUUGUUCACAUGAUGACGAUGAUGAAGAAGGGAAGGGUGUCAGAAACGUCUCGCUUGACUUGACCGUGGUCUGGCUUGGGGAUUAUCUGUAACGUUUUGGCCAUUGGGGUCUCGAGGGACAUUCAAUUGUUUGUCUUUACCAACAUUUACCACAUUACAUGUG
This is a long non-coding RNA of Vigna angularis (adzuki bean), 322 nucleotides long. RefSeq lists it as uncharacterized. The transcript is spliced from 2 exons. NCBI's taxonomy places the organism in Eukaryota, Viridiplantae, Streptophyta, Magnoliopsida, Fabales, Fabaceae. The record is from RefSeq and is a predicted model, not a curated record.